Macaca fascicularis (crab-eating macaque) is the source of this 1613-nucleotide long non-coding RNA. Lineage: Eukaryota; Metazoa; Chordata; Mammalia; Primates; Cercopithecidae. The record is from Ensembl.
AUGACUCAGGCCUGGCCCUGCCCUUGGAGGGCACUGGGCCAGUGUGAGCUCAUCACCACUGCCCGGAGCAGAAGUGGUAAACAAGUUCACCCUCGGCCUCCCACCCCUGAGAGGAAGCAGAGGGUGAGGUGGGGGCCCCUCAGGCAGCUCAACCCAAGCCUUCUACACAAUGCAGGUGCAUGUCACGGGUGUCCCAGGGCCGGUGGGGUGUGUGCUGGGCUCCUGCCUGCGGGCAACACGCACAGGCAUAUGCGUCCCUUCACUCACACUCAUGGGGGUGCCCAUGGCCAACCUUUCCAGGGGCCAACUUCGCCAGGUUCAUGGGGACCAUUUUACCCCAUCCGUGAUGUCCAGGGCCAACAGCCCAACGCUCAUGAGGCUGGGCCUGAGGACUGGGGGGUCCCCAUGGAAUAACCCCUGGUUUGACCUGCUGGAUCCCAGAUUACCUGGUCGUCAGACCUCGCGGCUCAGACCCAUGUGCUAUGGGGUCCCUUAUGGCUUCUGGGACCCUAGAGAUGCCACAGAAAAAUAUUCUUGGCCUACCUAGGCUCGUGGCAACAUCUGAGAAGGUCCGAUCUUCUUAAGCAUCUUGCUUCUCCUGCCAUCUCCUGCCCUCCCUUCUUCUCUCUUGCCUUUCUCUGUCUUCCUCCUCUUCUUUUUCAUCCUCUUUCCUGAUCUUUCUCUCUAUCCCUUCUCUCCUCUCAACCCAGGUAACUGUUAUUGCUAUUUGUAACCACCAGAUGGCACCAGCGCAUCAUGUGUCCCCCCUCCUUGCUGGGGGUCUCCCCCACCAAGAUGAUUAACCUUUCACAACACCCACACCCUGUCCAACGCCUUCCCAGGACUUUACACCCAGAGGAAAACAUGCAGCAAAAUACCAGCAUGGCCAGGGUAGGGGCAGGAGCAUCCAGCUCCAUGGGAGAGCCUGUACCUGCCAUUCCCUUCAGGGUGCCCGCCCACUGAGGGUGUGAUAGCCUCUACUCCUGGCAAGCCAGUGAGGUCCUAGUGAUCAUCUCCAGAGAACAGAACUCAGAGAAGUGAAGCCACUUGCCGAAGGCAGGACAGCACAUGUGUAGUGCAAGGGAACUCAAACCUAAGCUUCACAGGUUCCAAAACUCUGGGCUUCCUGGGCGAGUGAGGCAGGAAGGGACUGGGGCAAGGAUCCCCAGAGCCAGAGCACUCUCUCCCACACCGAGUACCUAUUCCUACUGCCGUCCCUCUCAUGUCUCCCUGAUCUGCUUCUUUCAGGCCUGACUCAGAAUACUCUGCCCAUGGAGGUGCUCAUGAUGACCUCAGCCCUUGGGUCUUCUUAGAAUUUAGGCAUCUGAGGCCGGGCGCGGUGGCUCACGCCUGUAAUCCCAGCACUUUGGGAGGCCGAGGCGGGCGGAUCACAAGGUCAGGAGAUCGAGACCACGGUGAAACCCCGUCUCUACUAAAAAUACAAAAAUUAGCCGGUUGUGGGCGCCUGUAGUCCCAGCUACUCGGGAGGCUGAGGCAGGAGAAUGGCGUGAACCCGGGAGGCGGAGCUUGCAGUGAGCCGAGAUCGCACCACUGCACUCCAGCCUGGGCGACAGAGCGAGACUCCGUCUCAAAAAAAAAAAAAAAAAAAAAAA